AGAGGGGAUGUGUGAUCUACGUACCCUUGUAUACCGUACAGCAGAAGCGUUAGUGAACGCGGUUGAUGUAGUGGAACGUCCUCACCUCCCUCGAUCCGCCCCGCGAACCGUCCCGCGAUCAGUCCCACGAUCUAGUGCCGAACGGACGGCACCUCCGCGUUCAGCACACGUACAGCUCGACGAUGAUCUCGGCCUUCUUGAUCCAGCAAGAGAGACGAUGAGGUAGAAG
Molecule: long non-coding RNA, 229 nt
Filed under: Hordeum vulgare
Lineage: Eukaryota; Viridiplantae; Streptophyta; Magnoliopsida; Poales; Poaceae
Description: long non-coding RNA (HVUL_LNC006407)
Source: RNAcentral